RNAcentral lists this long non-coding RNA (2349 nucleotides) under Homo sapiens (human). RNAcentral's name for it is "HSALNT0315001". The record is from RNAcentral. Lineage: Eukaryota; Metazoa; Chordata; Mammalia; Primates; Hominidae.
GUCUCCUCAAGGACACGUCUUUUACUGCAUGCAGCUUCACAGUCAGCUCCUCAAGCAGAAGACUGAACCGUGACUUGUUUUUAGAAGCUCUCCGGGUAGGGAGGACAUAUCCAUAUGCAGGACAGAACCUUGCUUUUCAAAUUCAAGAAAAAACAGUAACUAAUCUAUCGAUUCUUCUGUGAUUCAGUCUGCCAGGGUGUUCUGUAAAGAAUCCUUUUCCAUCCCUAUCACACAUUUGUACGAAAGGGGAGGGAGAGGUGGCAGGGUCCCAGUACACCGGCAGGCACUUCGGCGAUGCCCGGGGCUCCGCUCCCUUUCUGUUGAUAGUUGUAGGCGUCAUUUCUGGCAGCUGCUGCAGCUCGAUGCAGGGAAGGAAGGGGCCACCCACCAAUCACCUCUUUCUGAUGCCACAUUUUUGACGUUCAUGGAAGAGGCCUGUCUCAGAGCUCCCUAAGCUGACAAUCUUUGGGCAGCCAUCUCUAUUCUUCUCCUGGCUGGUGCACUCCUUACAAUAAUAGGCAUCAGAGACUCCCAUGGCCUCCACAGAUCUCACAGUGUCCCUGGUAAAAGCCAUAGUUACACUCAUCAUAUAAGCAUACCAGGGUGAAGGGACAGACACAGCGGUCACAAAUCACACACUUGCCGUCAGUUUUCACACAAUCUUCCGAUGGCAACAUCAGCCUGCUUGCAGCAAAAGAUCAAACCCAGAUAAUGUUCAGCCGUAGCUCCUGCUCACGCUGCAUUGCCCUCUUUUUAAAGCCAAGAAGCCCAUCUGGAGGCAUCAAAUCAUGCUUUAUGCAUAAGUAGGAGCUACAACGCAUUGGCCACAUGCACCUCCCUUGGGGGGACUCAAAUUUACUGAAUCCUGCCUUUGUGCCCAACACUGCAUUUGGAACCUUAUAUAAACAUCUCCACUAUUCCCCAAGAGGGUUCAUCCUUUCCCCUUGUUUCUUCAUUAUCUAUGUCUAACUUCCAUCCUUCCUGCUUUAGUUGGACUUGCUGUUCAUUUGAGAGGAAGCUGCUGACCACAGAGUUCAGCAAAAGAAUGGGAGUAUGGAGGCUCAAAGUGUGGCCCCUGGAGAAGCUGAAUGAGAAGUAGCCCUGGAUAUGGUGUAGACUCCCACAAACCAGAGAUCCUGCCCUCAGUGCCUCAGCUUUAGGAAGCUGCUCCCUGCCUUGCUCCUGGGCAGACAGGUAUGGUAUUGAUUUCCCCAUACCCCAGCAUCCCCACCCCAGUUUCCCUCUCUUCCCCCAUUGCCCGGUGCUUUGGCUGGCAUGCCCCUGACAACCAGGGAGGGCAAGUCCUUCUCCUGGUGGGUAGCCGGCUGGCUUCCUCCCAGCUCAGAGCCAAGCAUGCCUCAAUUAGGUACGCCCUAGGAUGGGAAGUCCUUCCAGGGGCCUUUCCUCAAAAGCCGGCCAGAAGUGGGCUCCUUCAAGCCUAAAGUUAAGCCGAUGGAGUAUGCAGGGUGGAGACGUGAAGGAAGGCCACACCACCUUCUGGUGGCAACUCCGCCUGGCCCACGUUUUGCCGCUUUUCCUCUUUCCCUGUCAACCACACCACGUGAGGCCUCUUUCCCAGCAAACCAAAGCUCCCUCUGGCGGCCCAGGAGGAGUCAAAUCUUCUCCCCACCUGUGUACAUUAUUUUCCAGCUGUAGCAAGUAGAGACACGCUCUGUGUCCAGAUGGCCUCACCCCAGCUGCCCUUUUGUCCCACUGAUGAGCCAGGUGUUUAGCAUUUUAAACAACUAGCACUCUGAUUGACAGACUGACCAUUAAAUUGACUUUCUGACUGAUGGAUCCUGAUGGACCACUGUCUAUCUGAAAAGUUAAUCCUGAGUAAUUGACUGGCUGGUUGGCUGAUUAAAUAUCUAAACACACAAAUCACUUGAUUGACCUAAUGGAUUUCUUUUUUUGUUGCUUUUUGGUUUUUUGUUUUUGAGGCGGAGUCUCGCACUGUUGCCCAGGCUGGAGUGCAGUGGCGUGAUCUCCGCUCACUGCAAGCUCUGCCCCCCGGGUUCAUGCCAUUCUCCUGCCUCGGCCUCCUAAGUAGCUGGGACUACAGGCGCCCGCCACCAUAUAUAUAUAUAUAUAUAUAUAUAUACAUAUAGUAUUUUUAGUAGAGACGGGGUUUCACUGUGUUAGCCAGGCUUGUCUCAAUCUCCUGACCUCGUGAUCUGCCCGCCUCGGCCUCCCAAAGUGCUGGGAUUACAGGCAUGAGCCACCACACCUGGCCACCUACUGGAUUUCUUACUGAUGUACUAACUGUAGGUAACUAAACAUCUGACAAGCUUAAACUGACUACAUAACUGACUCUUUAACCAGCUGAAUGACUGACUGCCCAGUGGAGGA